GACGAACGCUGGCGGCGUGCUUAACACAUGCAAGUCGAACGGAAAGGCCCUGCUUGCAGGGUCCUCGAGUGGCGAACGGGUGAGUAACACGUGGGUGAUCUGCCCUGCACUUCGGGAUAAGCCUGGGAAACUGGGUCUAAUACCGGAUAGGAGCCAUUUUUAGUGUGAUGGUUGGAAAGUUUUUUCGGUGUAGGAUGAGCUCGCGGCCUAUCAGCUUGUUGGUGGGGUAAUGGCCUACCAAGGCGGCGACGGGUAGCCGGCCUGAGAGGGUGGACGGCCACAUUGGGACUGAGAUACGGCCCAGACUCCUACGGGAGGCAGCAGUGGGGAAUAUUGCACAAUGGGCGCAAGCCUGAUGCAGCGACGCCGCGUGGGGGAUGACGGCCUUCGGGUUGUAAACUCCUUUCGCUAGGGACGAAGCUUUUUGUGACGGUACCUAGAUAAGAAGCACCGGCUAACUACGUG
RNAcentral lists this ribosomal RNA (465 nucleotides) under uncultured bacterium. RNAcentral's name for it is "partial 16S ribosomal RNA". It matches the Rfam family "Bacterial small subunit ribosomal RNA", at positions 28 to 507 of the family's 1533-position model. The record is from RNAcentral.